AAUAGAUACCCUGGUAGUCCACGCCGUAAACGAUGGGCACUAGGUGUGGGAGGUGUCGACUCCUUCCGUGCCGAAGCUAACGCAUUAAGUGCCCCGCCUGGGGAGUACGGCCGCAAGGCUAAAACUCAAAGGAAUUGACGGGGGCCCGCACAAGCAGCGGAGCAUGUGGUUCAAUUCGACGCAACGCGAAGAACCUUACCUGGGCUUGACAUGUUCCUGACAGGUGUGGAAACACACCCUCCCUUCGGGGCAGGAUCACAGGUGGUGCAUGGCUGUCGUCAGCUCGUGUCGUAAGAUGUUGGGUUAAGUCCCGCAACGAGCGCAACCCCCGUCGCAUGUUGCCAGCAUUUAGUUGGGGACUCAUGCGAGACUGCCGGUGACAAACCGGAGGAAGGUGGGGAUGACGUCAAGUCAUCAUGCCCCUUAUGUCCAGGGCUACACACGUGCUACAUUGGCCGGUACAAAGGGCUGCGAUACCGUGAGGUGGAGCGAAUCCCAUAAAGCCGGUCUCGGUUCGGAUUGAAGGCUGAAACUCG
RNAcentral lists this ribosomal RNA (536 nucleotides) under uncultured bacterium. RNAcentral describes it as "bacterial SSU rRNA". It matches the Rfam family "Bacterial small subunit ribosomal RNA", at positions 777 to 1314 of the family's 1533-position model. The record is from RNAcentral.